Molecule: non-coding RNA, 201 nt
Organism: Pelobates cultripes (western spadefoot toad)
Lineage: Eukaryota; Metazoa; Chordata; Amphibia; Anura; Pelobatidae
Source: the annotation of a GenBank genome assembly
GCAAUCUGUCACAAAAGCCAGUGCUGCAGCUCGCAUACAUCGUACAAAAGCUAAGUCCCCAUUGUCCGCGGCAGUGCUGUAAUAUGCAAUUGGCCUCUGUGUUUCUGGGUCAAUACCAAAGUGGUUUGUCCAUUAUGUACAAGACUGAAGAAAGUGAAUGACCUGGUGUAAUCUGUCAGUCCUAAUCUUUCUCAUCUUCAC